Molecule: ribosomal RNA, 345 nt
Filed under: Triticum aestivum (bread wheat)
Lineage: Eukaryota; Viridiplantae; Streptophyta; Magnoliopsida; Poales; Poaceae
Description: partial small subunit ribosomal RNA
Source: RNAcentral
AUGCUGCUGCCAUGGCCCGGCCGAGCUGCAUUGCAGCAUGCGACGCUACGACAGAGCUGCUGCCAUUGCCGCCGGCGGAGCUGCCUUGCAGCAGGAGAGGUAACGAUCUGCUGCCAUGGCCAGCGGCGGAGCUGCGUUGCAGGUUGCAGCACGCGAUGCUACGUCGGCGUUGCUGCCACGCCGACGGCGGAGUUGCCUUGCAGCAGGAGAGGCGAUGAGCUGCCGGUGAGUUGUUUCCAUGGCCGGCAGCGGAGCUGCGUUGCAGCACGUGAUGCUACGAUGGCGUUGCUGCCACGCCGGCGGCAUAGUUGCGUUGCAGCAGGAGAAGCGACAAGCUCCUGGUGA